UUGCAGUUAUAGUUUAGAAUAAGAAUAACUUUUUUGUAAAAAGGGGGGAGCUAUCUGUUUAGCUUGUCUGCA
Molecule: transfer RNA, 72 nt
Filed under: Ancyrocephalus mogurndae
Lineage: Eukaryota; Metazoa; Platyhelminthes; Monogenea; Dactylogyridea; Ancyrocephalidae
Description: tRNA-Thr
Source: RNAcentral